UACAGAGGUCCCAAGCGUUGUUCGGAUUUACUGGGCGUAAAGGGUGCGUAGGUGGUCGGGUAAGUCUCAUGUGAAAUCCCGCAGCUUAACUGCGGAACGGCAUGGGAUACUAUUCGGCUAGGAUUGGAGGGGGGACUGGAAUUCCCGGUGUAGCAGUGAAAUGCGUAGAUAUCGGGAGGAACACCAGUGGCGAAGGCGAGUCCCUGGACAAUUCCUGACGCUGAGGCACGAAAGCCAGGGGAGCAAACAGG
RNAcentral lists this ribosomal RNA (251 nucleotides) under uncultured bacterium. Its description in RNAcentral is "partial 16S ribosomal RNA". It matches the Rfam family "Bacterial small subunit ribosomal RNA", at positions 524 to 776 of the family's 1533-position model. The record is from RNAcentral.